AGGAAAGAUGGGUAUUGCUGUCACAUUACUGCCUUUCCUUGGGGGAAGGAAGAAGCAGGCAUCCAGCCAUGCUGCCGAGCACGCGCAGACCGCAGGCAGUGUCUCCUUCCCUUUUCUUCAUUGUAGACGUGAUUCCCUGUUUGGGACGUGAAGUUGCAGGCAUGGGACAGGUUGAAAAGGAUCACCCAAGGAUUCAGUACAAAACGGGACAAGGCCACAAACACAGAGCAGCUCAGCGACCCUCCAGGUGACGCUGCUGCUCUUCUGUUCCCCAGGGACCACCCAGGGCCUACAGCGCUUCCUUCCCAGGUACCCAAAUGGCAGACAGGGGAA
Molecule: long non-coding RNA, 333 nt
Organism: Fukomys damarensis (Damara mole-rat)
Lineage: Eukaryota; Metazoa; Chordata; Mammalia; Rodentia; Bathyergidae
Exons: 2
Source: RefSeq, a predicted model, not a curated record